This 93-nucleotide transfer RNA is filed under the name Bacillus carboniphilus. Its description in RNAcentral is "tRNA-Ser". It matches the Rfam family "tRNA". From Rfam's summary of the family: Transfer RNA (tRNA) molecules are approximately 80 nucleotides in length. Their secondary structure includes four short double-helical elements and three loops (D, anti-codon, and T loops). RNAcentral also lists the same sequence under 2 other names. The record is from RNAcentral. Lineage: Bacteria; Bacillati; Bacillota; Bacilli; Caryophanales; Bacillaceae.
GGAGGAAUACCCAAGUCCGGCUGAAGGGAUCGGUCUUGAAAACCGACAGGCGGGUCAAACCGCGCGGGGGUUCGAAUCCCUCUUCCUCCGCCA